Pocillopora damicornis (cauliflower coral) is the source of this 148-nucleotide long non-coding RNA. The record is from RefSeq and is a predicted model, not a curated record. Lineage: Eukaryota; Metazoa; Cnidaria; Anthozoa; Scleractinia; Pocilloporidae.
UGUUGCUCAGUAUCAAAGGAUAAAGAAAGGCAGGGAGGCAUUGUCACUUUCAUUUGCUGUGAUUUUGGGUGAUUUUAAUAUGAAGACCCUGUGGCUUGUCAUCGUCGUGGCAUUAAGCGUAUCUUUAGAGAAAUCAUCUGUAGAAGGU